Molecule: ribosomal RNA, 33 nt
Filed under: Enterobacter cloacae
Lineage: Bacteria; Pseudomonadati; Pseudomonadota; Gammaproteobacteria; Enterobacterales; Enterobacteriaceae
Source: RNAcentral
CCACCUGACCCCAUGCCGAACUCAGAAGUGAAA